AGAAUCAACGCUGGCGGCGUGCCUAACACAUGCAAGUCGAACGAGAAAGUGGAGCAAUCCAUGAGUAAAGUGGCGACCGGGUGAGUAACACGUGACUAACCUACCUUCGAGUGGGGGAUAACCUCGGGAAACCGAGGCUAAUACCGCAUAACAUCGCAAGAUCAAAGCAGCAAUGCGCUGGAAGAGGGGGUCGCGGCUGAUUAGCUAGUUGGCGGGGUAAUGGCCCACCAAGGCGAAGAU
This 240-nucleotide ribosomal RNA is filed under the name uncultured bacterium. Its description in RNAcentral is "partial small subunit ribosomal RNA". It matches the Rfam family "Bacterial small subunit ribosomal RNA", at positions 26 to 280 of the family's 1533-position model. The record is from RNAcentral.